This 274-nucleotide ribosomal RNA is filed under the name uncultured archaeon. RNAcentral describes it as "partial 16S ribosomal RNA". It matches the Rfam family "Archaeal small subunit ribosomal RNA", at positions 345 to 619 of the family's 1478-position model. The record is from RNAcentral.
AAACUUCGCAAUGUGCGCAAGCACGACGAGGGAAUCCUAAGUGCCUAUGCUUUGCAUAGGCUGUUCUCCUGUCUAAAAAACAGUGGUUAGCAAGGGCCGGGCAAGACCGGUGCCAGCCGCCGCGGUAACACCGGCGGCCCGAGUGGUAACCGUCUUUAUUGGGUUUAAAGGGUCCGUAGUCGGCUUAUUAAGUCUUUUGGGAAAUCUGGCGGCUCAAUCGUCAGGCGUCCAAGAGAUACUGGUAGGCUUGGGACCGGGAGAGGUGGGAGGUACU